GUUGAAAAAGAUUUGUUUUGGUGAACAAUGAUAAGUCGUGUAAAUUAUCGAUAAAAUCAAACCUUUUGUCAUUCAUUUCUCCGAGUGGACAAAAAAUUAUUGCUUCUUUUAUCGUUUACAUUUUUCUAAACAAGAGACCAAGACUUACUUUGAAUUUGAACAUUUUAGGGGGAUUGGCCAUCACUGUAUAUAGCUAGAGCAAUAUUUGAUUACCUACUUUCACCUGGGCUAAAUAAACGUACCCAAUUGUAUAUCUGAUAUGUAGCUUUGGUAUUGCUUAUACAUAACGUAUAUCCAUACAGAAAGUGAUUUUAACAGCCUGUCUUAAAAAUUGAAUUAACAUUGCAAAAACAUUCCACACAAACAUCUGUACCGUUAUAUCGAGUAUUAUAAAACAUGUCCAUUGUGUUGGGGUUUUUUUUGUUUUCUUUGGGUUUUUGUUGUUGUUUUUUUUUUGGUUUUUUUUUUACAUUUCACUGUGCACAUAUAUAUUCCCUUGUACCCGUGUGAUGACCUUGAACUGAAUAUUAACAAAAGAUCCCCAAGACGGGGGGGGGGGGGUUAUCCUCUCGCAAUAAGUGUGUGCAAGCUUUUGAUGAAGUAUUGUAGUGACCCUCCAAAAUGAUAGGGUUCUCUUUUGAUACCAAUGCCAAAGUAUGAAUUACGUGAUCUGUAGAGUUUCUACAAUAUCACUGUUUCACAGACAAACGUUUCCGUCACUAUAUCCCCUCUCACAAUGGAUUGCGAAGGGAUAAAACAUUCGAUUACUACAUUUGUUUUAAAAGAUAUAUCUUGAUCAAAAAUGUGCUUUUCUGCGUAAUAAAAUCGGGAACUAUUUUACUUAUUUAUUCAUUAGCGACGCACAACAGGAAAAAAUCUUCUUUUCUUUUUCGUAAUACAAUAGGGGACUAUUUUAUUUAUUUAUUUUUAGCGAUGCACACCAGAAAAAUGCAAUAUAUCCCGUAAUGCAAUAGGGGACUAUUUUAUUUAUUUAUUUAUUUUUAGCGUUGCACAACAGAAAAAAUGCACUUUUUUCCGUAAUACAUUAGGGGACUAUCUUAUUAUUUUUUUACGAUGCACAACAGAAAAAUUGCAGUUUUCUACGUAAUACCAUAGGGGGCUAUUUUAUUUCUUUAGCAAUGCACAAGGGACAACAGAAUGCAUGUUAAAACGAACAAAAUGAUUCGAUAAUAUUGAUAUUUGCGGAUUCAAAUUCUUUCGUUCUAUAGAAGACGCGGACAAGAAGUAGAAGAAUGAAGCAACAAAUCAUACAGGACGUCAAUCAUAUGAUAAUAGUGAGGAAUUACUGUGCGUCGUAAAUAAGGGUUAGUGUUAGAGGUAGGGUUACGAUUAGAACUAGUCUAAAACGUUCAAAGACAAAUUGAAUAGUACUGGUCCCCACUGCUAAUAAUAUUCCUAUUCUGAAACUACAGUACCCCUUGCUUGUCGUAAGAGGCGAUUAAAUGGGGCGAUCCUUCAGAUGAGACCGCAAAAACCGAGGCCACGUAUCACAGUAGGUGCCGCACGAUAAAGACCCCUCCCUGCUUUAAGGCCGUAAGCGCCGAGCAUAGACCUAAAUUUUGCAACCCUUCACCGGCAAUGAUGUCGUCUCCAUAUGAGUGGAAAAAUUCUGAGGACCUACACUAACCCUGAUCCCCACGGAACCGUAUCUUAAUAAAGAUGAGUCUUAAAAUUUAGCGCCGAAACUGCUUGACGUUUGUCAUGUGACCAUAGCAUACGAUUUCAGAAAUCAACUUUCGUUUUCAGUUGUGCCUGUUAAUGCAUGAACUUUCUUUUCCAUUUCAUGGAACAUUGUGACCUUCAGUUCGUGUCGCAAUGCGCAACAAUAGUUAUGUACUGAAACUAUGGAACAAUAUAGAAUAAGGUAACAGUACACAAUAUCAUCGUUCUGGUGAUUCAGAGAAUGAUACAUGUUUGCAUAACCGACUGCGGCUCGACAUUAUUUCGUGCUAUAUUUAGUGUACAUCGAUAGAUCACGGAAUUCUGGGAAAUAUUUGCAACAGCAAUAUGUAAGGAGAGUAGAUUAAAGAAAAAAUGAACCAACAGGAAGCCAUUAUAUUUUGGAAUGCGCAUUGAAUUCGAUAAAGUUUGGAUACAUUGUAACACCACAGGUAUAAGCCAAAGGAAGCAAAUCGAUCUAGAUUGUUCGAACAUGUAUGGCAGAUGAGUUCAUCCGACGCAUUGCUAUACUAUCCUUUGUUUUGAACAUAUUUUAUUUCAUAAUACACACAGAUGGAUUGGAUACACGUUCUUCCAACUUAAUGGACGUCUCGAAUAUAAAAAUACAAUGUAUUUAUAAAAUAAAAGAAUGUCAUACAAACAUUUUAGAAUUCAACUAUAUUUUGAAAAUUUUAUAUACUAUUCCAAACCUCAAAGAAUCUCUAAUGUACGUCUGUACCUUGAACCCAAAAGAUUUUUUGACUGCCUUUUAUAGGAGUGUGCUGACUCACCAAGGUAACUGUCAGGAAAUGAAAAUAGAAAAUGUGGAUAAUUGAAUCAUAUAAAAACAAUUAGAUAGCUCAAAGAAUCGAAAUUGUUAUAAUCGGUCAACAGGAGAUGCUUACUCCUCUUAGGCACCUGAUCUUACCUUUGGUAUGUCCGGGGUUACUAGUGUUUGCCUAACUCUUAAUUUGUUAAUCUUUAGGGGAUUUAUGAGAUUCAUCAAUGUUUGUUACCUUCAUUUUUUUUCCAUUCAAUAGACCAGCAUUAGGACUUGAUAACUCCACAUGCAAGAUAGUAUACACUUGAUAUGUUCACUAGGCUCUUUGGUCUAUUCUAUAUUUUCGAUUCUUAUGUUGUAUUCUCGAGUUUUUACACUCACGUAGAUACCUCACCAACGUUAGGUAAAGUGCCACAAACUUUGACCUAUACAUGACGCUUACAUGUACGACCGUAGCUCUUGGGUUCUUUAUCGUCUCAACGCCUACUGUGACGCGCAAACUUACCUGUUGAAGGUCAUGUCCGAAAGACCCACGACGCACAUUUCUAAUUCCGGCCUCUUGAAGAGGAAACAGUUAAAACCUCUGAUACAUUUCCUAGGUUUAACACGAAGCCGAGAUAAAGCAUCGAAACUGGGCUUCCUGGCUGCGAGUCCAGCACACUAAGCAGGAUACCUCUACUGGUCACUGAUCAGGGACGAAAUGUAAAGGAAUUUAAACUCUUUGAUUGUGUUAACAUAUAUACACAUGAUAUUUGAUAUAGAUAUAAAUUGCGACUGAUUGCAUCUGAAUAACACCGUGAAUAGAACAGGGGUAGUCGGAAUACUAAUAACAUUGAUACGUUCCUAGGUCAUACAUGUAGACAAAAA
This is a long non-coding RNA of Ostrea edulis (European flat oyster), 3328 nucleotides long. RefSeq lists it as uncharacterized. The record is from RefSeq and is a predicted model, not a curated record. Lineage: Eukaryota; Metazoa; Mollusca; Bivalvia; Ostreida; Ostreidae. The transcript is spliced from 2 exons.